This 505-nucleotide ribosomal RNA is filed under the name uncultured Scutellospora. RNAcentral describes it as "SSU rRNA". It matches the Rfam family "Eukaryotic small subunit ribosomal RNA", at positions 569 to 1078 of the family's 1831-position model. Lineage: Eukaryota; Fungi; Glomeromycota; Glomeromycetes; Diversisporales; Gigasporaceae. The record is from RNAcentral.
AGCAGCCGCGGUAAUUCCAGCUCCAAUUGCGUAUAUUAAAGUUGUUGCAGUUAAAAAGCUCGUAGUUGAAUUUCGGGGUUCUACCGUCGGUCGGGCUACCAAGUCUGUACUGGUGUGUAGAAUUUCUACCUUCUGGGGAACCAUCAUGUUAUUAAUUUAGCGUGGUGGGAAACCAGGACCUUUACCUUGAAAAAAUUAGAGUGUUCAAAGCAGGCUUAUGUCUGAAUACAUUAGCAUGGAAUAAUAGAAUAGGACGGUGGUCCUGUUUUGUUGGUUUCUGAAUCACCGUAAUGAUUAAUAGGGAUAGUUGGGGCAUUAGUAUUCAAUUGUCAGAGGUGAAAUUCUUGGAUUUAUUGAAGACUAACUUCUGCGAAAGCAUUUGCCAAGGAUGUUUUCAUUAAUCAAGAACGAAAGUUAGGGGAUCGAAGACGAUCAGAUACCGCCGUAGUCUUAACCAUAAACUAUGCCGACUAGGGAUCGGACGAUGUUAAAUUUUAUUGACUCG